This 1026-nucleotide ribosomal RNA is filed under the name uncultured bacterium. RNAcentral's name for it is "bacterial SSU rRNA". It matches the Rfam family "Bacterial small subunit ribosomal RNA", at positions 37 to 1070 of the family's 1533-position model. The record is from RNAcentral.
UGGCGGAGGUCUACCAUGCAGUCGAACGGUAACAUUUCUAGCUUGCUAGAAGAUGACGAGUGGCGGACGGGUGAGUAAUGCUUGGGAACUUGCCUUUGCGAGGGGGAUAACAGUUGGAAACGACUGCUAAUACCGCAUAAUGUCUUCGGACCAAACGGGGCUUCGGCUCCGGCGCAAAGAGAGGCCCAAGUGAGAUUAGCUAGUUGGUAAGGUAACGGCUUACCAAGGCGACGAUCUCUAGCUGUUCUGAGAGGAAGAUCAGCCACACUGGGACUGAGACACGGCCCAGACUCCUACGGGAGGCAGCAGUGGGGAAUAUUGCACAAUGGGGGAAACCCUGAUGCAGCCAUGCCGCGUGUGUGAAGAAGGCCUUCGGGUUGUAAAGCACUUUCAGUUGUGAGGAAAAGUUAGUAGUUAAUACCUGCUAGCCGUGACGUUAACAACAGAAGAAGCACCGGCUAACUCCGUGCCAGCAGCCGCGGUAAUACGGAGGGUGCGAGCGUUAAUCGGAAUUACUGGGCGUAAAGCGCACGCAGGCGGUUUGUUAAGCUAGAUGUGAAAGCCCCGGGCUCAACCUGGGAUGGUCAUUUAGAACUGGCAGACUAGAGUCUUGGAGAGGGGAGUGGAAUUCCAGGUGUAGCGGUGAAAUGCGUAGAUAUCUGGAGGAACAUCAGUGGCGAAGGCGACUCCCUGGCCAAAGACUGACGCUCAUGUGCGAAAGUGUGGGUAGCGAACAGGAUUAGAUACCCUGGUAGUCCACACCGUAAACGCUGUCUACUAGCUGUGUGUGCCUUUAAGGCGUGCGUAGCGAAGCUAACGCGCUAAGUAGACCGCCUGGGGAGUACGGCCGCAAGGUUAAAACUCAAAUGAAUUGACGGGGGCCCGCACAAGCGGUGGAGCAUGUGGUUUAAUUCGAUGCAACGCGAAGAACCUUACCUACACUUGACAUGCUGAGAAGUACUAGAGAUAGUUUCGUGCCUUCGGAACUCAGACCAGGUGCUGCUGGCUGCCGCAGCUCGUGCCUGA